Molecule: long non-coding RNA, 1112 nt
Organism: Esox lucius (northern pike)
Lineage: Eukaryota; Metazoa; Chordata; Actinopteri; Esociformes; Esocidae
Source: Ensembl
GUGAUGUAGUUACGCCACUGGCUCCAGGUAUAUGGAGGUGAUUUAGUUACGCCACUGGCUCCAGGUAUAUGGAGGUGAUGUAGUUAUGCCACUGGAUCCAGGUAUAUGGAGGUGAUUUAGUUACGCCACUGGCUCCAGGUAUAUGGAGGUGAUGUAGUUAUGCCACUGGAUCCAGGUAUAUGGAGGUGAUGUAGUUACGCCACUGGCUCCAGGUAUAUGGAGGUGAUGUUGUUACGCAGAGAUGGGGACAAGUCACACAUGAUCAAGUCCAAGCAAGUCUCAAGUCUUCACCAUCAAGUCUCGAGUCAAGUCUCAAGUCACAGUUCAGAUAAAUCAAGCAAGUCAAGUCAAGUCAAGGGUUCACCUUAAGCAAGUCAAGUCGAGUCCUUAUAAGUUUCAAGUCAAGUCACAGUACUAAAGAGAUGAACACACACACACACUGUCCUCUGUUUCUGACGUGCGCUCGGUGCGAAGCUCGAUUUCAAAAUCAAAUAUUUUUCUCCUCCGCGGUACAAUUUUUUGGGGGGACGAAGCGGAGGGAUCUUCAAUCUGCCUGAAGGGGUUGUAUUCGCUAUAACAACUACCUCGCUAUACCUUAUCCCGCGUAUUACAUGGCUACCUACCAAAUAAAUCAAUAAUUUGACACAAAAUAUUGAUUUCAAAAGGAAUUUAUUGAUUUGAAAACGAUUGUAUUGCUUCCUCUAAAGAAAAGAGUCCGUUCCAUCUCUGGUUAGAACCCUGCUGCGUCCAUAGCAACGCGCUGUUUUUCAUGGCAACGGUCUGUUAUCAAGAAAUAACACGCAUUCUGCACUGGAAUUCAGCCAAUCCAUGUAAUAAGGGCUAAUAAUAACCUUAUAAACUAAUUAUUGUGACUGAAAAACUGCCUAAUAUGUAAUUACGCUGUAAUUAUUCUUGUCUGUAUGAGUAAAAAAAAAAAACUCUUCGAAAUGUUUAGGUGCUAGUAAUCACAUCGGCGCCUCCAUGUUAGCCUUUCAUGCAGUAAAGUUAUGGUGUAAGCACAAUGCUUUUUAGUUUCCACACGCAGUCCACAAACACUUGAAAAUGCGCACAUUUAAUACAGACAUUAUAGCCUACGUCUAAUAAUAUACAAG